AACGAACGCUGGCGGCAUGCCUAACACAUGCAAGUCGAACGAAGUCUUCGGACUUAGUGGCGCACGGGUGCGUAACGCGUGGGAAUCUGCCCUUGGGUGCGGAAUAACUUCUCGAAAGGGAUGCUAAUACCGCAUAAUGUCGUAAGACCAAAGAUUUAUCGCCCAAGGAUGAGCCCGCGUAAGAUUAGCUAGUUGGUGGGGUAAAAGCCUACCAAGGCGACGAUCUUUAGCUGGUCUGAGAGGAUGAUCAGCCACACUGGGACUGAGACACGGCCCAGACUCCUACGGGAGGCAGCAGUGGGGAAUAUUGGACAAUGGGCGAAAGCCUGAUCCAGCAAUGCCGCGUGAGUGAUGAAGGCCCUAGGGUUGUAAAGCUCUUUUACCAGGGAUGAUAAUGACGGUACCUGGAAAAGAAGCCUCGGCUAACUCCGUGCCAGCAGCCGCGGUAAU
RNAcentral lists this ribosomal RNA (450 nucleotides) under uncultured bacterium. Its description in RNAcentral is "bacterial SSU rRNA". It matches the Rfam family "Bacterial small subunit ribosomal RNA", at positions 29 to 524 of the family's 1533-position model. The record is from RNAcentral.